GUUACAGCCGCCGCGGUAAUACGGAGGGUGCAAGCGUUAUCCGGAUUUACUGGGUUUAAAGGGUGCGUAGGUGGGUAGGUAAGUCAGUGGUGAAAUCUUCGAGCUUAACUCGGAAACUGCCAUUGAUACUAUCUGUCUUGAAUACUUUGGAGGUAAGCGGAAUAUGUCAUGUAGCGGUGAAAUGCUUAGAUAUGACAUAGAACACCAAUUGCGAAGGCAGCUUACUACACAGUCAUUGACACUGAGGCACGAAAGCGUGGGGAUCAAACAGGAUUAGAUACCCCGGUAGUCC
RNAcentral lists this ribosomal RNA (292 nucleotides) under uncultured bacterium. RNAcentral describes it as "partial 16S ribosomal RNA". It matches the Rfam family "Bacterial small subunit ribosomal RNA", at positions 505 to 796 of the family's 1533-position model. The record is from RNAcentral.